Molecule: ribosomal RNA, 468 nt
Filed under: uncultured bacterium
Lineage: Bacteria
Description: partial 16S ribosomal RNA
Rfam family: Bacterial small subunit ribosomal RNA
Source: RNAcentral
GACGAACGCUGGCGGCGUGCUUAACACAUGCAAGUCGAACGGAAAGGCCCUGCUUUUGUGGGGUGCUCGAGUGGCGAACGGGUGAGUAACACGUGAGUAACCUGCCCUUGACUUUGGGAUAACUUCAGGAAACUGGGGCUAAUACCGGAUAGGAGCUCCUGCUGCAUGGUGGGGGUUGGAAAGUUUCGGCGGUUGGGGAUGGACUCGCGGCUUAUCAGCUUGUUGGUGGGGUAGUGGCUUACCAAGGCUUUGACGGGUAGCCGGCCUGAGAGGGUGACCGGCCACCUUGGGCCUGAGAUACGGCCCAGACUCCUACGGGAGGCAGCAGUGGGGAAUAUUGCACAAUGGGCGGAAGCCUGAUGCAGCAACGCCGCGUGCGUGAUGACGGCCUUCGGGUUGUAAACCGCUUUCGCCUGUGACGAAGCGUGAGUGACGGUAAUGGGUAAAGAAGCACCGGCUAACUACGUG